UUUAUCUCAGUUUUUCAUCUGUUCAUUAAAGCAUAGCAUCCUAUAAAGUUAAUCAGUGUGGAAAGUUAGCAGUAUAUGUGUGCUCCUGAAUAUGGCUAAGCCACUGAACUCCAGUGUGGAAAUUAAUGAUGAGCACCCCUGGCCCUACUUCAGUAAAAUAUUUCAAUACACUGGAGUAAACAAAGACACGUAUAAAAUGAGGCGUCUCCUUUUGCCUCCCUAGAAAGUAUGAACUCCAUCUAAUUUGAAAAAGCAUGUUGAGGGCAAAUGCUGCUCCGCUGACCCGAGAUCAUCCUGACUGUGCUGUUUUAGUGGUUACUCUGACUCCCAGGGGUCAACAGUGGAUCACUUUCUGCCCUCCAGCAGUGAGAGUAGGUGCUAAUGGUGAGUGAGAGGUGUCGUGUGAGUGUAGAAGACUGACCGUAAAUGCCCAGCACAAGGCUCACGUCUGGGUAAAUGCUUUGUCAGGGUAAGUAAUGCUACCCCACCCUGUCUCCCUUCUCUGCUGUCUAUCCCGCCCAUCAGUUGAGUCAUAACAUAUGUGCACACCCACACACACACACUUACACACCCACAUGCAUACACACGCACUAAGUGACAGUGCCAAUCAUGAUUCACAGGGCUGAGGGUUUGCACUAUAUGCUAGAUUAGCAUUGUGUUCUGGGAAGCCAGUAGACAUCCAUCCGAACAUACAGUUGGUGCUAAUUCCUAGUGACAUCAGCAUCAGUCGCAGGCACUCGCAAAAGCUUUCAAACAUUAUACACGGUCCCAAAUACACCAUGUACCAUUCAGUGUGGUUUAGGC
This is a long non-coding RNA of Ictalurus punctatus (channel catfish), 804 nucleotides long. The record is from Ensembl. Lineage: Eukaryota; Metazoa; Chordata; Actinopteri; Siluriformes; Ictaluridae.